UACGUAGGGUCCGAGCGUUGCCCGGAUUUAUUGGGCGUAAAGAGCGCGUAGGCGGCCGAGUAAGUCCGACGUGAAAUCUGGAGGCUCAACCUCCAGCGGUCGUUGGAAACUACUCGGCUAGAGUCCGGAAGAGGAGAGUGGAAUUCCCGGUGUAGCGGUGAAACGCGCAGAUAUCGGGAAGAACACCUAUGGCGAAGGCAGCUCUCUGGGACGGUACUGACGCUGAGACGCGAAAGCGUGGGGAGCGAACAGG
This 253-nucleotide ribosomal RNA is filed under the name uncultured bacterium. RNAcentral describes it as "partial 16S ribosomal RNA". It matches the Rfam family "Bacterial small subunit ribosomal RNA", at positions 524 to 776 of the family's 1533-position model. The record is from RNAcentral.